CUCUAAACGGAGCGGAUAAGGAGAGAUAGAGGGGGAGAGGGAGAGGGAGAGGGAGAGAGAGUGAAAGAUUGUACUGAACGAAACCCUAGCCAUGGAUAGGUACUCUGAUAANNNNNNNNUCCCGAGAAGACCGCGACCGCGAUUCCGCCAAGGAUCACAAACACCGAUCUCGAGACAAGGACCGAGAUGAUAAGUAUCGAGAAUCUGAUUCUCUCCACCGCCACCA
This 226-nucleotide unclassified non-coding RNA is filed under the name Hevea brasiliensis (rubber tree). The record is from RNAcentral. Lineage: Eukaryota; Viridiplantae; Streptophyta; Magnoliopsida; Malpighiales; Euphorbiaceae.